UGCAAGUCGAGCGGUAGAGAGGUGCUUGCACCUCUUGAGAGCGGCGGACCGGUGAGUAAAGCCUAGGAAUCUGCCUGGUAGUGGGGGAUAACGCUCGGAAACGGACGCUAAUACCGCAUACGUCCUACGGGAGAAAGCAGGGGACCUUCGGGCCUUGCGCUAUCAGAUGAGCCUAGGUCGGAUUAGCUAGUUGGUGAGGUAAUGGCUCACCAAGGCGACGAUCCGUAACUGGUCUGAGAGGAUGAUCAGUCACACUGGAACUGAGACACGGUCCAGACUCCUACGGGAGGCAGCAGUGGGGAAUAUUGGACAAUGGGCGAAAGCCUGAUCCAGCCAUGCCGCGUGCGUGAAGAAGGUCUUCGGAUUGUAAAGCACUUUAAGUUGGGAGGAAGGGCAUUAACCUAAUACGUUAGUGUUUUGACGUUACCGACAGAAUAAGCACCGGCUAACUCUGUGCCAGCAGCCGCGGUAAUACAGAGGGUGCAAGCGUUAAUCGGAAUUACUGGGCGUAAAGCGCGCGUAGGUGGUUCGUUAAGUUGGAUGUGAAAUCCCCGGGCUCAACCUGGGAACUGCAUUCAAAACUGUCGAGCUAGAGUAUGGUA
RNAcentral lists this ribosomal RNA (602 nucleotides) under uncultured bacterium. RNAcentral's name for it is "bacterial SSU rRNA". It matches the Rfam family "Bacterial small subunit ribosomal RNA", at positions 56 to 653 of the family's 1533-position model. The record is from RNAcentral.